GGCAGGCCUAACACAUGCAAGUCGAACGGGCGUAGCAAUACGUCAGUGGCAGACGGGUGAGUAACGCGUGGGAACAUACCUCUUGGUUCGGAACAACACAGGGAAACUUGUGCUAAUACCGGAUAAGCCCUUACGGGGAAAGAUUUAUCGCCGAGAGAUUGGCCCGCGUCUGAUUAGCUAGUUGGUAGGGUAAUGGCCUACCAAGGCGACGAUCAGUAGCUGGUCUGAGAGGAUGAUCAGCCACAUUGGGACUGAGACACGGCCCAAACUCCUACGGGAGGCAGCAGUGGGGAAUAUUGGACAAUGGGCGCAAGCCUGAUCCAGCCAUGCCGCGUGAGUGAUGAAGGCCCUAGGGUUGUAAAGCUCUUUUGUACGGGAAGAUAAUGACGGUACCGUAAGAAUAAGCCCCGGCUAACUUCGUGCCAGCAGCCGCGGUAAUAAG
Molecule: ribosomal RNA, 442 nt
Filed under: soil clone WD4
Lineage: Bacteria; Pseudomonadati; Pseudomonadota; Alphaproteobacteria; Hyphomicrobiales; Nitrobacteraceae
Description: bacterial SSU rRNA
Rfam family: Bacterial small subunit ribosomal RNA
Source: RNAcentral